GAUACUUGGUGUGAAUUGCAGAAUCCCGCGAACCAUCGAGUCUUUGAACGCAAGUUGCGCCCGAAGCCAUUAGGCCGAGGGCACGUCUGCCUGGGCGUCACGCAUCGCGUCGCCGCCCCCCAUCGCGCGGGGCGGCGGAAAUUGGCCUCCCGUGC
RNAcentral lists this ribosomal RNA (155 nucleotides) under Vangueria infausta. Its description in RNAcentral is "5.8S ribosomal RNA". The stretch from base 1 to 100 matches the Rfam family "5.8S ribosomal RNA", at positions 57 to 154 of the family's 154-position model. Rfam says of the family: 5.8S ribosomal RNA (5.8S rRNA) is a component of the large subunit of the eukaryotic ribosome. It is transcribed by RNA polymerase I as part of the 45S precursor that also contains 18S and 28S rRNA. Lineage: Eukaryota; Viridiplantae; Streptophyta; Magnoliopsida; Gentianales; Rubiaceae. The record is from RNAcentral.